UCAAACUUGGUCAUUUAGAGGAAGUAAAAGUCGUAACAAGGUUUCCGUAGGUGAACCUGCGGAAGGAUCAUUAAAAAGUGCCCCAGCUUCUGGCUGGCGGACCACACCGCUGCCCUCCCAAGAUCUCGGUUGGUUGAUGCCUAGGUAGCCCCCAAGUCCCUGUCCAGCGGGUCUUACCAGGCUUCUCUCUGCAUUGAACCAGAGGUUGGCAAGAAAUAGGGUCAAGUGUAUACCCACUGUGAAACUUCUACCUUUGCUUCGGCAGCACUCUCUUCCGAGGGGUAAGGCUGCCAGAAGCCCAUAUCAAACUAGUUGAUGAAAUGUCAUGCUGUCUGAUAACCACUAUUUGAGAAAUCAAAUUGAUCUUAAAACUUUCAGCAACGGAUCUCUUGGUUACCGCAUCGAUGAAGAACGCAGC
RNAcentral lists this unclassified non-coding RNA (418 nucleotides) under uncultured fungus. RNAcentral's name for it is "partial contains small subunit ribosomal RNA, internal transcribed spacer 1, and 5.8S ribosomal RNA". The stretch from base 1 to 73 matches the Rfam family "Eukaryotic small subunit ribosomal RNA", at positions 1759 to 1831 of the family's 1831-position model. Lineage: Eukaryota; Fungi. The record is from RNAcentral.